GUCUUUUUGAAAUUUUUUUAAAGUCUAACCUGCCCACUGAAAAUUUUAAAUGGCCGCAGUAUACUAACUGUGCAAAGGUAGCAUAAUCAUUAGUCUUUUAAUUGAAGGCUGGUAUGAAUGGUUGGACGAGAUAUUAACUGUUUCAUGAAAAUUUAUAAUAGAAUUUUAUUUUUUAGUCAAAAAGCUAAAAUAAAUUUAAAAGACGAGAAGACCCUAUAAAUCUUUAUAUUUAAGUUAUUAUAAUUUUUUAGAUUAAUUUUAUUUUUAUAACUAAUAAUAUUUUAUUGGGGUGAUAUUAAAAUUUAAAAAACUUUUAAUUUUUUUUUACAUAAAUUAAUGAAUAUUUGAUCCGUUAUUAAUGAUUAAAAAAUUAAGUUACUUUAGGGAUAACAGCGUAAUUUUUUUGAAGAGUUCUUAUCGAUAAAAAAGAUUGCGACCUCGAUGUUGGAUUAAGAGAUAAUUUUAGGUGUAGCCGCUUAAAUUUUAAGUCUGUUCGACUUUUAAAUUCUUACGUG
RNAcentral lists this ribosomal RNA (515 nucleotides) under Graphomya tienmushanensis. Its description in RNAcentral is "partial 16S ribosomal RNA". The stretch from base 386 to 515 matches the Rfam family "Bacterial large subunit ribosomal RNA", at positions 2473 to 2602 of the family's 2925-position model. Lineage: Eukaryota; Metazoa; Arthropoda; Insecta; Diptera; Muscidae. The record is from RNAcentral.